RNAcentral lists this long non-coding RNA (645 nucleotides) under Mus caroli (Ryukyu mouse). RNAcentral describes it as "lncRNA (MGP_CAROLIEiJ_G0006461.1)". Lineage: Eukaryota; Metazoa; Chordata; Mammalia; Rodentia; Muridae. The record is from RNAcentral.
UGUUCUCCUGCCUUGAGUUCCUGCCUCAGCUACCCUGGGAUAGACUGAAACCUGCUGUCACAAGAAAGCUGCCAUGGUUCAUUAAGGAGUUCCAGAAGUGGACAGAAGCAUUCUCGAUCAUUUCUUAUAAUAGACAUUUUUUGAAAACCAAAGAGAUCUGGAGUAUCCCAAGUGGACUGAGAAGCUCUGGAGAGGAAAGCAGACUUCAUUCAACACCUGUGGGCUGUUGGGCUCUGGGAUGCUUCUGAUGAGAGGAUAGACAAACCUCCCUGAAUAGUACCUACCACUCAGGACUGCAGGGAACUGAGCAGAGAUAGAAUCUUCCAUCCCCGAAGUCCUGCUUUCCAGCCUACAAAAGCCCGCACAUGUGCAGAUUCCUCUUCCACUCCCCUUUAGUUCUGAUGAAAAGAAAAUUCUGCUUCUGGAGAUGUCAGUCUUUCUGCUUCCACCUCAACUUCCAUCAGUCCGACAGACAGUGCCUUCAGGUGGCGGCCCAGAUCAAGAGAUGGAAGAUUUCCCACCAUUUGCUGGCCCAUUUACUAGCCAGCAACAUUGUAGCUGCUAAUGCUUCCUUCAUUGACAUCAGAGCCAGCAUUUCCAGGUCUCUAUCAUGGGCUAAGGACCAGAGACUCUUUUGGAACUCUC